AAAGUCAAAAUGGGCUAAAACUUCCCGGGCAAAAAUUGGACAAACCGCUCGACGGAUUUCGGUGUUCUUGGUGUCUAUGGAAAGUUCUCGACGAGUAGAUGAGUUUAGACACAAGACCCGGUCCGAUUGGUGGCUGGAUCGGCCGGAUUUUAGCCGGGAAGACGUACGGUCGCGCACGCAAGGGAGGGGCGUUCGCGCGAGUUUUCCGGCCGUUUGGGGCUGCGGUCGGCCGUGGGAAAGAGGUGGGGUGGCGCGUCGGUGAGCUGGGGUGGCGGGGGAGGUGGCUGGCCGGCUGGCUAGGGGGGAGGAGAGAGAAAACGGGAGAAAGAGAGAAGGAGGAGGAGACGCGCGCGGGAGAAAAAGAAGGAGGAGAGGGAGCCGGUCCGAUUCGACCGG
Molecule: unclassified non-coding RNA, 396 nt
Filed under: Hevea brasiliensis (rubber tree)
Lineage: Eukaryota; Viridiplantae; Streptophyta; Magnoliopsida; Malpighiales; Euphorbiaceae
Source: RNAcentral